RNAcentral lists this ribosomal RNA (227 nucleotides) under uncultured bacterium. RNAcentral describes it as "partial 16S ribosomal RNA". It matches the Rfam family "Bacterial small subunit ribosomal RNA", at positions 335 to 555 of the family's 1533-position model. The record is from RNAcentral.
ACUCCUACGGGAGGCAGCAGUGAGGAAUAUUGGACAAUGGGUUAGCGCCUGAUCCAGCCAUCCCGCGUGAAGGACGACGGCCCUAUGGGUUGUAAACUUUCUUUUGUGAUAGGGAUAAACCUACUCUCGUGAGAGUAUGCUGAAGGUUACUAUACGAAUAAGCACCGGCUAACUCCGUGCCAGCAGCCGCGGUAAUACGGAGGGUGCAAGCGUUAUCCGGAUUUAUU